This 305-nucleotide ribosomal RNA is filed under the name uncultured bacterium. Its description in RNAcentral is "bacterial SSU rRNA". It matches the Rfam family "Bacterial small subunit ribosomal RNA", at positions 337 to 634 of the family's 1533-position model. The record is from RNAcentral.
UCCUACGGGACGCAGCAGUGGGGAAUUUUGGACAAUGGGCGCAAGCCUGAUCCAGCUAUUCCGCGUGUGGGAAGACGGCCUUCGGGUUGUAAACCACUUUCGUAGAGAACGAAAAGUCUAUUGAUAAUACCGAUAGAUGAUGACGGUACUCUAAGAAUAAGCACCGGCUAACUACGUGCCAGCAGCCGCGGUAAUACGUAGGAUGCGAGCGUUAAUCGGAAUUACUGGGCGUAAAGGGUGUGCAGGCGGUUUUGCAAGAUGGAUGUGAAAGCCCCGGGCUUAACCUGGGAAAGCCAUACAUGACU